This is a long non-coding RNA of Thunnus maccoyii (southern bluefin tuna), 940 nucleotides long. RefSeq lists it as uncharacterized. NCBI's taxonomy places the organism in Eukaryota, Metazoa, Chordata, Actinopteri, Scombriformes, Scombridae. The record is from RefSeq and is a predicted model, not a curated record. The transcript has 4 exons.
CUCACCAACCUUCAGGAAAUUCCCCUGGUACGGUGCGUACGUUUAAAGCUGGAUCUUAUACUGUCACCAUUCAUGUUUUUCCAGUCAUUCUGAGUCUCACAUCAGAACGAAGUAGUCUGAGUUUCUGACAACAGUGGAACUUCCAGGAUGUCUUACUUGUGGAUACGUUUGAGUCUGCUGUGUGCUGCUACUAUUCUACAAAGUAAUGCUUCAAAUGGAGAUUCAAACGUGUCACUGAAGUGCAACGACACAGUGGAGGUUGUUGCUGGAGAAAAUGUGACACUAAACUGCAGCAUCAUUUACAAGCCUGGACUGUGUACAGGUCGUCAAUAUCACUGGAGUAACUCAAAUGGCAACAUACAGUGUAGCAGUAGCUUGAUUAAAUCCUUCUGUGGUUGGGACACUCAGACUUAUGUGUAUCUGACCAUCUCAAAUGUCAUCAAAGAGGAGAAUUACACCAUUAUAACACAUACAGACUGUGGCUUUCCUAAAAAAUCUAUCAAAGUACAAGUUAAACAAGACAGAACAACAACAGAAACAUCCAGAGGCCAAAGUUAUGAGUAUCUCGAGGCCACUGAGCUACCGCUGAGACACCAUGUGAUCACCCCUAUAUUGGGUAUUUUUUUCAUGCUUGCUGUUGUGGGUAUUUUGUAUUUCCUGUGUGGAACUAAUAGAGGCGGAUAAGUCAUCAGCCGAAUGAAGAAGGAAAGGACUCAGGGAGGAGACGACAGAGAACCGAGAAAUGAAAACUUGCUGAUAUCCUGACAAAUUCUGAAAUUUGUGUAUAAGCAUCUGUGUGUGUUCAAAUAUUUGUUGUUCAUGAAAGAUCAUCUUCACCCAGCUGGCUGUGUAGCUUCCUGCCUCUGAAAAAUCACACAUCAUGUUUAACUUUUUAUGGAGCUUUUUUUUCCUUCUAAUGACAUUUUCAGAAUUCUUUGGA